This 464-nucleotide ribosomal RNA is filed under the name uncultured bacterium. Its description in RNAcentral is "partial 16S ribosomal RNA". It matches the Rfam family "Bacterial small subunit ribosomal RNA", at positions 31 to 507 of the family's 1533-position model. The record is from RNAcentral.
GAACGCUGGCGGCGUGCUUAACACCUGCAAGUCGAACGGAAAGGCCUCUUUCGGGGGGUACUCGAGUGGCGAACGGGUGAGUAACACGUGAGUAACCUGCCCUUGACUUUGGGAUAACUUCAGGAAACUGGGGCUAAUACCGGAUAGGAGCUCCUGCUGCAUGGUGGGGGUUGGAAAGUUUCGGCGGUUGGGGAUGGACUCGCGGCUUAUCAGCUUGUUGGUGGGGUAGUGGCUUACCAAGGCUUUGACGGGUAGCCGGCCUGAGAGGGUGACCGGCCACAUUGGGACUGAGAUACGGCCCAGACUCCUACGGGAGGCAGCAGUGGGGAAUAUUGCACAAUGGGUGGAAGCCUGAUGCAGCAACGCCGUGUGCGGGAGGACGGCCUUCGGGUUGUAAACCGCUUUCGCUCAUGACGAAGCUUUGUGUGACGGUAGUGGGUAAAGAAGCACCGGCUAACUACGUG